Molecule: ribosomal RNA, 340 nt
Filed under: uncultured Acetivibrio sp.
Lineage: Bacteria; Bacillati; Bacillota; Clostridia; Acetivibrionales; Acetivibrionaceae
Description: bacterial SSU rRNA
Rfam family: Bacterial small subunit ribosomal RNA
Source: RNAcentral
UCGGGAAUAUUGCACAAUGGAGGAAACUCUGAUGCAGUGACGCCGCGUAUAGGAAGAAGGUCUUUGGAUUGUAAACUAUUGUCGACAGGGAAGAAGAAAAUGACAGUACCUGUGGAGGAAGCUCCGGCUAACUACGUGCCAGCAGCCGCGGUAAUACGUAGGGAGCGAGCGUUAUCCGGAUUUAUUGGGUGUAAAGGGCGCGUAGACGGAUUUGCAAGUUGGAUGUGAAAUCCCUUGGCUCAACCAAGGAACUGCAUCCAAACUGUAAACCUUGAGUAUGGGAGAGGAAAGCGGAAUUCCUAGUGUAGCGGUGAAAUGCGUAGAUAUUAGGAGGAACACC